CCUACGGGAGGCAGCAGUGGGGGAUAUUGCACAAUGGGGGAAACCCUGAUGCAGCGACGCCGCGUGUGGGAAGACGGUCCUCUGGAUUGUAAACCACUGUCCCCAGGGACGAAGAUGACGGUACCUGGGGAGGAAGCUCCGGCUAACUACGUGCCAGCAGCCGCGGUAAUACGUAGGGAGCGAGCGUUGUCCGGAUUAACUGGGUGAAAUGGGCGCGUAGGCGGGGAUGCAAGUUGGGGGUCAAAACUCCCGGCUCAACUGGUAGUCGCACUCAAAACUGGAGCUCUUGAGUGAAGUAGAGGCAGGCGGAAUUCCUAGUGUAGCGGUGAAAUGCGUAGAUAUUAGGAGGAACACCAGUGGCGAAGGCGACCUGCUGGGCUUUUACUGACGCUGAGGCUCGAAAGUGUGGGGAGCGAACGGGAUUAGAUACCCGAGUAGUC
This 440-nucleotide ribosomal RNA is filed under the name uncultured bacterium. RNAcentral's name for it is "partial 16S ribosomal RNA". It matches the Rfam family "Bacterial small subunit ribosomal RNA", at positions 338 to 795 of the family's 1533-position model. The record is from RNAcentral.